GACGAACGCUGGCGGCGUGCUUAACACAUGCAAGUCGAACGGUAAGGCUCCACUUUGCUGGGGUACACGAGUGGCGAACGGGUGAGUAACACGUGGGUAACCUGCCCUGCACUUCGGGAUAACCCUGGGAAACUGGGGCUAAUACCGGAUAGGACCAUGAUCUGCAUACUGGGGUUGAAAGUUUUUGCGGUGUGGGAUGGGCCCGCGGCCUAUCAGCUUGUUUGUGGGGUAGUGUCCCACCAAGGCGGCGACGGGUAGCCGGCCUGAGAGGGUGGACGGCCACAUUGGGACUGAGAUACGGCCCAGACUCCUACGGGAGGCAGCAGUGGGGAAUAUUGCACAAUGGGCGGAAGCCUGAUGCAGCGACGCCGCGUGGGGGAUGACGGCCUUCGGGUUGUAAACUGCUUUCACCAUCGACGAAGCGUUUGUGACGGUAGAUGGAGAAGAAGCACCGGCUAACUACGUG
RNAcentral lists this ribosomal RNA (466 nucleotides) under uncultured bacterium. Its description in RNAcentral is "partial 16S ribosomal RNA". It matches the Rfam family "Bacterial small subunit ribosomal RNA", at positions 28 to 507 of the family's 1533-position model. The record is from RNAcentral.